UACAGAGGGUGCAAGCGUUAAUCGGAUUUACUGGGCGUAAAGCGUGCGUAGGCGGCUCGCUAAGUCGGUUGUGAAAUCCCUGGGCUUAACCUGGGAACUGCAGUCGAUACUGGCGGACUAGAGUACGGUAGAGGGUGGCUGAACUCCGGGUGUAGCGGUGAAAUGCGUAGAUAUCCGGAAGAACACCGAUGGCGAAGGCAACCACCUGGGCCUGUACUGACGCUGAGGUACGAAAGCGUGGGGAGCAAACAGG
RNAcentral lists this ribosomal RNA (253 nucleotides) under uncultured bacterium. Its description in RNAcentral is "partial 16S ribosomal RNA". It matches the Rfam family "Bacterial small subunit ribosomal RNA", at positions 524 to 776 of the family's 1533-position model. The record is from RNAcentral.